This 589-nucleotide ribosomal RNA is filed under the name uncultured beta proteobacterium. Its description in RNAcentral is "bacterial SSU rRNA". It matches the Rfam family "Bacterial small subunit ribosomal RNA", at positions 113 to 697 of the family's 1533-position model. The record is from RNAcentral. Lineage: Bacteria; Pseudomonadati; Pseudomonadota; Betaproteobacteria.
AUACAUCGGAACGUGUCCUGUAGUGGGGGAUAGCCCGGCGAAAGCCGGAUUAAUACCGCAUACGCUCUACGGAGGAAAGGGGGGGAUCUUAGGACCUCCCGCUACAGGGGCGGCUGAUGGCAGAUUAGCUAGCUUGGUGGGGUAAAGGCCUACCAAGGCGACGAUCUGUAGCUGGUCUGAGAGGACGACCAGCCACACUGGGACUGAGACACGGCCCAGACUCCUACGGGAGGCAGCAGUGGGGAAUUUUGGACAAUGGGCGAAAGCCUGAUCCAGCAAUGCCGCGUGUGUGAAGAAGGCCUUCGGGUUGUAAAGCACUUUUGUCCGGAAAGAAAACUUCUGCCCUAAUACGGCGGGAGGAUGACGGUACCGGAAGAAUAAGCACCGGCUAACUACGUGCCAGCAGCCGCGGUAAUACGUAGGGUGCAAGCGUUAAUCGGAAUUACUGGGCGUAAAGCGUGCGCAGGCGGUUCGCUAAGACAGAUGUGAAAUCCCCGGGCUUAACCUGGGAACUGCAUUUGUGACUGGCGGGCUAGAGUAUGGCAGAGGGGGGUAGAAUUCCACGUGUAGCAGUGAAAUGCGUAGAGAU